GUGAGGAAUAUUGCGCAAUGGAGGCAACUCUGACGCAGCCAUGGCGCGUGCAGGAAGAAGGCGCUACGCGUUGUAAACUGCUUUUAACCGGGAAGAAACCCCAGGACGUGUCCUGGGUUGACGGUACCGGAGGAAUAAGCACCGGCUAACUUCGUGCCAGCAGCCGCGGUAAUACGAAGGGUGCAAGCGUUAUCCGGAUUCAUUGGGUUUAAAGGGUGCGUAGGCGGAGCGUUAAGUCAGUGGUGAAAUCCUGCAGCUUAACUGUAGACUUGCCAUUGAUACUGGCGCUCUUGAGUGCGCUUGAAGUGGGCGGAAUGUGCCGUGUAGCGGUGAAAUGCUUAGAUAUGGCACAGAACACCAAUUGCGAAGGCAGCUCACUAAGGCGAUACUGACGCUGAGGCACGAAAGCGUGGGGAUCGAACAGGAUUAGAAACCCGAGUAGUCC
This 445-nucleotide ribosomal RNA is filed under the name uncultured bacterium. Its description in RNAcentral is "partial 16S ribosomal RNA". It matches the Rfam family "Bacterial small subunit ribosomal RNA", at positions 354 to 796 of the family's 1533-position model. The record is from RNAcentral.